RNAcentral lists this long non-coding RNA (1377 nucleotides) under Capra hircus (goat). RNAcentral's name for it is "lncRNA (ENSCHIG00010000818.1)". The record is from RNAcentral. Lineage: Eukaryota; Metazoa; Chordata; Mammalia; Artiodactyla; Bovidae.
ACAAAAGAGGUGAAGACACAGGGGCAUUUGUAGUCUGAGCAGGUUUUCAUGAAGCAGUUCAUGUGCCAGGAUUCUCCUGUCCGUGCUCUGGGAUGCGCUGUGCAGGCCACUGCAGGAAAUUGAGGCGCAGUGUCCUUGCCCUGUGGCAGUCACGGUAUACCUCCAACUUGUGUGCAGUUUAAUGUGUUUCCAGGUGCUUGGAUACAACAUCUUUAUUACAUCUUCUUUGCCAGUUUAUUUAUUUUCACACUGCUCUCACAGAGACUUGGAAAAUACAGUUAAUUUUAUAGAUUAAAUAAAUGGAAUAGGAUGAAGACGAUAAGCCAUACUCAUUCUUUGUCUAUCAAACUACUGCUUUUCCAGUAAGUCUCAAUUUGUUCUACGUUUUCUUAUAUUUAUACUUCUGCUGCUAAGGAUAUUAAAACCGGGAGGGAAAAAAUGCAAAAAAAAAAAAUUGGGGCAUAUGAAGCUACAGGUUUGUAUGAAAAUAUGAAAAUAUUAAUCAUCAAGCUGUGUAGAAAGGUAGUAUGUUACCUUUUUAUCUAUGAUAAAUGUAGUUGUAUGUUAUCCGUGUUCCAUAUGUUGUUUAGAUGGUCAGCAUCUUCUAAAAAGCAGAUUUGGGUGCCGAUUUAUUAUACAUUUCACCUAGUGGGAUGACUUAGUACUGUAAACUGACUUGUGCUCUGAAGAAGAAAUUACUGUCCUAACUUUUCCACAUCAGUGUUUCUUCGUGUCUCCUUGAAAAGUGAAAGUUAGUCGCUCUGUCUUGUCUGACUGUGACCCCAUGGACUGUAGCCCACCAAGCUCCUCUGUCCAUAGAAUUCUCCANNNNNNNNNNNNNNNNNNNNNNNNNNNNNNCUUCUCCAGGGGAUCUUCCCAAUCCAGGGAUGGAACCCAGGUCUCCUGCAUCACAGGCAGAUUACCAUCAGAGCCCCGUGGGAAGCCCCUCUUCAGGUUGUUUUUAAUCACAACAAAGUUUAAGAACUAGACCUUCUUUAGGAUGUAAAUUUUUGUACAAGUUGUAGUAUUAGAAAUGAAUAUAAUUCAUGCUGGCUACAAUUUGGUGUUUUGUUACUGAUAACGAUCAAAAAAUUUUUUUUAUGAAACCANNNNNNNNNNNNNNNNNNNNNNNNNNNNNNNNNNNNNGAGAUCCUCCUUAUAUAAAGCCCAUGUAUUUGUUGGUUGUAUCAAUAUUAUCUUUAAUCAGGUAACUGCUUUUGUUUUAACUCCCCUCCAUUUCUCUGUUAGUAUAGGAAUUAAUGACUUUACUAAUGUAGCAUUUUACUGAAAUGGCUUCUGAAGUUUUUGAGAAUUACUUUAGGAAAAUAAACAAUAUUUUUAACAACAUCUUUGAGUGACUUGUUGAAAGGUAACUUC